This 492-nucleotide ribosomal RNA is filed under the name uncultured bacterium. RNAcentral's name for it is "partial 16S ribosomal RNA". It matches the Rfam family "Bacterial small subunit ribosomal RNA", at positions 29 to 507 of the family's 1533-position model. The record is from RNAcentral.
AGUGAACGCUGGCGGUAGGCCUAACACAUGCAAGUCGAACGGCAGCACAGUAAGAGCUUGCUCUUACGGGUGGCGAGUGGCGGACGGGUGAGGAAUACAUCGGAAUCUACUUUUUCGUGGGGGAUAACGUGGGGAAACUUACGCUAAUACCGCAUACGACCUACGGGUGAAAGCAGGGGAUCUUCGGACCUUGCGCGAUUGAAUGAGCCGAUGUCGGAUUAGCUAGUUGGCGGGGUAAAGGCCCACCAAGGCGACGAUCCGUAGCUGGUCUGAGAGGAUGAUCAGCCACACUGGAACUGAGACACGGUCCAGACUCCUACGGGAGGCAGCAGUGGGGAAUAUUGGACAAUGGGGGAAAGCCUGAUCCAGCCAUACCGCGUGGGUGAAGAAGGCCUUCGGGUUGUAAAGCCCUUUUGUUGGGAAAGAAAAGCAGCAGGUUAAUACCCCGCUGUUCUGACGGUACCCAAAGAAUAAGCACCGGCUAACUUCGUG